UUCUUAGAAAAUUGGACAUAAUGCUACCUGAGAACCUGGCUAUAUCACUCCUGGGCACACACUCAAAAGAUACUCCAACACGUAACAAGGACACAUGUUCCACUAUGUUCAUAACAGCCUUAUUUAUUUUAGGCAGAAGCUGGAAAGAACUCAGAUGUCCUUCAACAGAGGAACAGAUAAAGAAAGUAUGGUACACUUAUACAGUGGAAUACUACUCAGCUAUUACAAAUAAUGACUACAUGAAAUUCUGAGGCAAAUGGAUGGAACUAGAAAGUAUCCUCUUGAGUGAGGUAACCCAGUCAGAAAACAAAUCACAUGGUAUGCACUCACUGAUAAGUGGAUAUUAGCCUAAAAGCCUGGAAUUCCCAAAAAAUAAUUACAGACUAUAUGAAGCUCAAGAAAAAGAAAGACCAUAAUGUGAAUGCUUAAGUCCUUCUUAAAAUGGUGAACAAAAUACCUAAAGGAGGAAAUACAGGGACAAAGAGUGGAGCAGGAACUAAAAGAAAGGUCAUCCUGUGACUGUCCUACCUGGAGAUCCAUCCCAUAUGCAGCCACCAAAUCCAGCCACUAUUGCUGAUGCCAACAAGUGCUUGCUGACAGGAAUCUGAUAUUGAUUUCUCCUGAAAGGCUCUGCCAGAGUCUUAUA
Molecule: long non-coding RNA, 646 nt
Filed under: Rattus norvegicus (Norway rat)
Lineage: Eukaryota; Metazoa; Chordata; Mammalia; Rodentia; Muridae
Description: long non-coding RNA NONRATT003016
Source: RNAcentral